RNAcentral lists this ribosomal RNA (499 nucleotides) under uncultured bacterium. Its description in RNAcentral is "partial 16S ribosomal RNA". It matches the Rfam family "Bacterial small subunit ribosomal RNA", at positions 29 to 523 of the family's 1533-position model. The record is from RNAcentral.
AUUGAACGCUGGCGGCGUGCUUAACACAUGCAAGUCGAGCGGCAGCGCGGGGGCAACCCUGGCGGCGAGCGGCGGACGGGUGAGCAAUACAUAGGAAUCUGCCUCAGAGCGGGGGAUAGCCAGGGGAAACCCUGAUUAAUACCGCAUGACGUCGAGAGACCAAAGUGGGGGAUCGUAAGACCUCACACUCUGAGAUGAGCCUAUGUCGGAUUAGCUAGUUGGCGGGGUAACGGCCCACCAAGGCGACGAUCCGUAGCUGGUCUGAGAGGACGAUGCGCCACAACGGAACUGAGAAACGCUCCGGACUCGUACGGGAGGCAGCAGUGGGGAAUAUUGGACAAUGGGCGAAAGGCUGAUCCAGCGACGCCGCGUGGGUGAAGAAGGCCUUCGGGUUGUAAAGCCCUUUAAGCCGGGACGAAAAAGCUACACCUAACACGUGUGGCCUUGACGGUACCGGAAGAAUAAGCACCGGCUAACUCUGUGCCAGCCGCCGCUGUAA